Molecule: ribosomal RNA, 846 nt
Filed under: uncultured archaeon
Lineage: Archaea
Description: bacterial SSU rRNA
Rfam family: Archaeal small subunit ribosomal RNA
Source: RNAcentral
ACUGCUCAGUAACACGUGAUCAACUUACCCUAUAGAGAAAAAUAACCUCGGGAAACUGAGGAUAAUGUUUCAUAAUUGAAUUGGCUUGGAAAAGUUUUUCAAUGAAAAGGAUAAAACAAAUGGUUUUUAUCUGCUAUAGGAUAGGAUCGUGUUCGAUUAUGGUUGUUGGUGAGAUAAUGGCUCACCAAGCCGAUAAUCGAUAGGGGCCGUGAGAGCGGGAGCCCCGAGAUGGGUACUGAGACAACGACCCAGGCCUUACGAGGCGCAGCAGGCGCGGAACCUCCGCAAUACACGAAAGUGUGACGGGGUUACCCAAAGUGUUCAAUAGAACUGUGGUAGGUGAGUAAUGUCCCCUACUAGAAAGGAGAGGGCAAGGCUGGUGCCAGCCGCCGCGGUAAAACCAGCUCUUCAAGUGGUCGGGAUAAUUAUUGGGCUUAAAGUGUCCGUAGCCGGUUUAGUAAGUUCCUGGUAAAAUCGGGUAGCUUAACUAUCUGCAUGCUAGGAAUACUGCUAUACUAGAGGGCGGGAGAGGUCUGAGGUACUACAGGGGUAGGGGUGAAAUCUUAUAAUCCUUGUAGGACCACCAGUGGCGAAGGCGUCAGACUGGAACGCGCCUGACGGUGAGGGACGAAAGCCAGGGGAGCGAACCGGAUUAGAUACCCGGGUAGUCCUGGCCGUAAACGAUGCAUACUAGGUGAUGGUACGGCCAUGAGCCGUAUCAGUGCCGUAGGGAAACCGUUAAGUGUGCCGCCUGGGAAGUACGGUCGCAAGGCUAAAACUUAAAGGAAUUGGCGGGGGAGCACCACAAGGGGUGAAGCCUGCGGUUCAAUUGGACUCAACGCCGGG